Molecule: long non-coding RNA, 225 nt
Filed under: Physcomitrium patens
Lineage: Eukaryota; Viridiplantae; Streptophyta; Bryopsida; Funariales; Funariaceae
Description: long non-coding RNA (PPAT_LNC011579)
Source: RNAcentral
GUUAAUCUUCAAUACCCCUUUGUACUUACGAUCCUGUAUCCACUGACUGUCUUGUUAGAUUAACCCAAUAAAUUUCAUUCACUCCGCAUACUCAAUCCUAUAGACACCCAUUUAAUCCUUCAAUCACAGACGUAACUCGAUUUUACAAAACAGUCAAGAGUAUUCAAAUCCACUUCAUUUAAAAAUCCCGAUUCACCAUUACAACACUAACUUCAGCAGCGAUUG